Molecule: transfer RNA, 76 nt
Organism: Sulfolobus acidocaldarius DSM 639
Lineage: Archaea; Thermoproteati; Thermoproteota; Thermoprotei; Sulfolobales; Sulfolobaceae
Rfam family: tRNA
About the family: Transfer RNA (tRNA) molecules are approximately 80 nucleotides in length. Their secondary structure includes four short double-helical elements and three loops (D, anti-codon, and T loops). Further hydrogen bonds mediate the characteristic L-shaped molecular structure. tRNAs have two regions of fundamental functional importance: the anti-codon, which is responsible for specific mRNA codon recognition, and the 3' end, to which the tRNAs corresponding amino acid is attached (by aminoacyl-tRNA synthetases). tRNAs cope with the degeneracy of the genetic code in two manners: having more than one tRNA (with a specific anti-codon) for a particular amino acid; and 'wobble' base-pairing, i.e. permitting non-standard base-pairing at the 3rd anti-codon position.
Source: Rfam
GGGGCCGUAGUCUAGCUUGGACUAGGAUGCCAGGCUUGGGCCCUGGUGGUCCCGGGUUCAAAUCCCGGCGGCCCCA